RNAcentral lists this long non-coding RNA (237 nucleotides) under Hordeum vulgare. Its description in RNAcentral is "long non-coding RNA (HVUL_LNC001553)". Lineage: Eukaryota; Viridiplantae; Streptophyta; Magnoliopsida; Poales; Poaceae. The record is from RNAcentral.
UCAUGCCAUAGGGAGAGAUUGGUGAUUUAUUUCGCUUUAUUUUAGUGGUCGUGGGAUGGAAGUGUCUGUCUAAAGAAAUCGUGGCAGGAUUACGUUUGCGUGUAUGGAAUUAAGGGAUGGUCAACCAUGGUAUUGGUGGGCUGGAUCAUUGCUAAUCUUUGUAAUAUGGAAUAUUCUGGAGUAUAGUGGACAGAGGAAAAAAAAAGGGGCGAAUGUUUGUGUCCACUCCAAGCUGGC